UACAGAGGGUGCAAGCGUUAAUCGGAAUUACUGGGCGUAAAGGGCGCGUAGGUGGUUAUUUAAGUCAGAUGUGAAAUCCCUGGGCUUAACCUAGGAAUUGCAUUUGAAACUAGAUGGCUAGAGUGUGGUAGAGGGAAGUGGAAUUUCCGGUGUAGCGGUGAAAUGCGUAGAUAUCGGAAGGAACACCAGUGGCGAAGGCGACUUCCUGGACCAUUACUGACACUGAGGCGCGAAAGCGUGGGGAGCGAACAGG
This 253-nucleotide ribosomal RNA is filed under the name uncultured bacterium. RNAcentral describes it as "partial 16S ribosomal RNA". It matches the Rfam family "Bacterial small subunit ribosomal RNA", at positions 524 to 776 of the family's 1533-position model. The record is from RNAcentral.